This 269-nucleotide ribosomal RNA is filed under the name uncultured Planctomycetales bacterium. RNAcentral's name for it is "partial 16S ribosomal RNA". It matches the Rfam family "Bacterial small subunit ribosomal RNA", at positions 565 to 832 of the family's 1533-position model. The record is from RNAcentral. Lineage: Bacteria; Pseudomonadati; Planctomycetota; Planctomycetia; Planctomycetales.
GAGCACGUAGGUGGGUUUGUAAGUCAGAUGUGAAAGCCUUCUGUUCAACGGAAGAAUUGCAUCUGAAACUGCGGGUCUUGAGUGUAGGAGGGGAGAAUGGAACUUCUGGUGGAGCGGUGAAAUGCGUAGAUAUCAGAAGGAACGCCGGCGGCGAAAGCGAUUCUCUGGCCUAUUACUGACACUCAGUGUGCGAAAGCUAGGGGAGCAAACGGGAUUAGAUACCCCGGUAGUCCUAGCCGUAAACGAUGGGCACUAAGUAGAGGGGUUUU